RNAcentral lists this ribosomal RNA (250 nucleotides) under uncultured bacterium. RNAcentral's name for it is "partial 16S ribosomal RNA". It matches the Rfam family "Bacterial small subunit ribosomal RNA", at positions 89 to 339 of the family's 1533-position model. The record is from RNAcentral.
UGACGACCGGCGCACGGGUGCGUAACGCGUAUGCAACUUGCCCAUUACUGGGGGAUAGCCCGGAGAAAUUCGGAUUAAUACCCCAUAGUACUACUAGAUGGCAUCUGAAGGUAGUUAAAGAUUUAUUGGUAAUGGAUAGGCAUGCGUGACAUUAGAUAGUUGGUGAGGUAACGGCUCACCAAGUCAGCGAUGUCUAGGGGGUCUGAGAGGAUGAUCCCCCACACUGGUACUGAGACACGGACCAGACUCC